Molecule: small nucleolar RNA, 109 nt
Filed under: Vicugna pacos (alpaca)
Lineage: Eukaryota; Metazoa; Chordata; Mammalia; Artiodactyla; Camelidae
Description: Small nucleolar RNA SNORA70 (ENSVPAG00000017689.1)
Rfam family: Small nucleolar RNA SNORA70 (bases 21-109)
About the family: snoRNA U70 seems to be exclusive to mammals and is a member of the H/ACA class of snoRNA which contain H (ANANNA) and ACA box motifs. H/ACA box snoRNAs are involved in the conversion of uridines to pseudouridines (5-ribosyluracil) a constituent of structural RNAs (transfer, ribosomal, small nuclear, and small nucleolar).
Source: RNAcentral
ACACAGUUAAGAAAACGAUGAUGUACAAUGGGCUGCAAAUAGUAGCCUCCUUGGUAGUGUUUGUAGCCUGUUACUUGCAUAUGUUGCCCUAGGGAUGUUGGUGACCACC